GGAGAGAUGGCUGAGCGGCUGAAAGCGCACGAUUGGAAAUCGUGUAGGUGGUCUAUAAACUGCCUCGAGGGUUCGAACCCCUCUCUCUCCGCCA
RNAcentral lists this transfer RNA (94 nucleotides) under Clostridiaceae bacterium. RNAcentral's name for it is "tRNA-Ser". It matches the Rfam family "tRNA". Rfam says of the family: Transfer RNA (tRNA) molecules are approximately 80 nucleotides in length. Their secondary structure includes four short double-helical elements and three loops (D, anti-codon, and T loops). Lineage: Bacteria; Bacillati; Bacillota; Clostridia; Eubacteriales; Clostridiaceae. The record is from RNAcentral.